This 88-nucleotide ribosomal RNA is filed under the name Dyadobacter fermentans. The record is from RNAcentral. Lineage: Bacteria; Pseudomonadati; Bacteroidota; Cytophagia; Cytophagales; Spirosomataceae. RNAcentral also lists the same sequence under 4 other names.
CACCUCUUCCCAUCCCGAACAGAGAAGUUAAGCCCGGAUCCGCCGAUGAUACUUGGUUCAAACCCGGUAAAGUAGGUAGCCGCCACAA